This 468-nucleotide ribosomal RNA is filed under the name uncultured bacterium. RNAcentral describes it as "partial 16S ribosomal RNA". It matches the Rfam family "Bacterial small subunit ribosomal RNA", at positions 28 to 507 of the family's 1533-position model. The record is from RNAcentral.
GACGAACGCUGGCGGCGGGCUUAACACAUGCAAGUCGAACGGCAAGGCACUGCGUUCGUGGGGUGAUCGGGGGGCGAACGGGGGAGGAAGACGUGAAUAACCUGACCUAGACUUUGGGAGGAGUUCAGGAAAGUGGGGCUAAUACAGUAUAGCAGCUCCUGCUGCAGGGAGGGGGUGGGAAAGUUUCGGCGGGUGGGGAUGGACGAGCGGCUGAUGGGCUAGUUGGUUGGGGAGGGGCUUACCAAGGCAUGGACGGGUAGCCAGCCUGUGAGGGUGAACGGCCACAUUGGGCCUGAGGUACGGCCCAGACUCCUACGGGAGGCAGUAGGGGGGAAUAUUGCACAAUGGGAGGACGCCUGAUGCAGCAACGCCGCGUGUGGGAUGACGGCCUUCGGGUAGUAAACCGCUUUCGCUUGUGACGAAGCGUGAGUGACGGUAAUGGGUAAAGAAGCACCGGCUAACUACGUG